This 454-nucleotide long non-coding RNA is filed under the name Nicotiana benthamiana. RNAcentral's name for it is "long non-coding RNA (NBEN_LNC018781)". Lineage: Eukaryota; Viridiplantae; Streptophyta; Magnoliopsida; Solanales; Solanaceae. The record is from RNAcentral.
GAUGGCCAAACUGAAGAUGGCAAAGCAGAAGAAGCAGCUGAGGGUGACAAAGAUGUCAAAAUGGCAGAUAAUUUUCAACACCCUGAAGAUGCUGGAGAGGCAUCGGUGGUGAAAGAGGCCCCUCUGGAGAAAGAACCUGAAGCUACUAAGGAUGAGGAAGGGAAGGAUGUACAACUUCCAGAAAGUGUGGAACAGAAACUUACUGAAACAAAGAAAGAGAGUGCUGCUGUUGAGAAAGAUGUCAAAAUGGCGGAUAAUGCUGCAGAGAAGAAAGAUGAAAUUCAUUCUUCUAAUGUUGAUGCUGUGAAGGAGAACCAAGCUGACAAGAAAAGUGAAGGCCAAACUGAAGAUGGCAAAGCAGAAGAUGCUCCUGCCGAAGCAGCUGAGGGUGACAAAGAUGUCAAAAUGGCAGAUAAUUUUCAACAUCCUGAAGAUGUUGAAGAGGCAUCGGUGG